Small nuclear RNA from Dromiciops gliroides (monito del monte), 105 nucleotides. Lineage: Eukaryota; Metazoa; Chordata; Mammalia; Microbiotheria; Microbiotheriidae. The record is from RefSeq and is a predicted model, not a curated record.
CUGCUUAUUUUGGCAGCACAUAUACUAAAAUUGGAAAGAUACAGAGAAGAUUAACCUGGUUUCUAUGCAAGAAUGACAAAAAUCUAUGAAGCAUUCCAUAUUUUU